Molecule: long non-coding RNA, 6829 nt
Filed under: Sus scrofa (pig)
Lineage: Eukaryota; Metazoa; Chordata; Mammalia; Artiodactyla; Suidae
Description: lncRNA (ENSSSCG00055004241.1)
Source: RNAcentral
GCAGAUGAGGGAGAGAUAGGAAAUAAGGAAGAAAAAAAAAUGUUUUCCAAUUACAUAACAGCAAAUAACAAAUACCGUAGCUGUCCUUACAGAAGGUCAGAAACACGGCGACUGGAGCUGUCAAGUAAUAGACAAUUUGAUGAUAGUAACUAAGAAAACACAAAAGGCAGCUAAUCUCCCCCCUACUGAUAAAGCCGUCUGAGGUAGAUCAAUUUAGUCAUGGUUGUUGUGAGGAAAUUGCACUUGUUUGAUGUUUCACAAGCAGAUCAUGUUGUUUCCUAGGAAACAUCCUUUUUCACUUAAAUCUAAUUCUCCCACGUACUGGGAUCUGAUGAGUCACUCAGCCUGGCUUUCCUCUCACUUCCCUCUCCCCAUUCAAGGGAACUGACUGGCUGGAAAUCUACUAAAUGAAAUGAAUUUAUUAGCUCUUUUCACCUUGCUCUUCACUUAACUCUUGUGCUUCUUCCUCAUAAGCCUAACUGCUUCCCUGAUGUGAAGGGCCAGGGAUAAUGAAGGAGCACAGCGCGUGAUGAGACCGAGUGUUGGACAAUGACUUCUGUCAAUUUCUUGGUUAUUAAACUAUAUCUCAGCUUCUACCUUUAAAUGGAAAACAUUACAUGCAUAGAGACGUUUUUGCCUUGUAACCUGUAGUGGAAUUGGAUGUUAGCUUAAUUUUAGAUUCUCAGUCACUCUGUACUCUAUGGUUAUACGGGUGUGUGUAUGUGAGAGAAAGAGAGAAAAGAGAGAAAGGGGAGGAAACAAGCAACAAAGAGAACUUACACAAAUGUUUCCAUUCUUAUUUGAAUGAAUUAAUAGACAUAUUGCCACAAAAAAUCUAGAACUUGAAGAUAAUCAAAAUAUAAUUUUAAGGAGUUCCCUGGUGGCCUAGUAGUUAAGGAAGCUGUGUUGUCACUGCUGUGGCAUGUGUUCUAUCCCUGGCCCCGGGAAGUUCUGUGUGCCACAGGCAUGCCCCCCCACCAAAAAAAGUAUCUAUAUAUUAUGUAAUUGAAUUAAAUAUUGUAUAUUUAAUAUAUAUAUUUAUUAUGUGUAAUAUACAUAUUAAAUGCUAAUAUAAAUAUAUAGAAAUACAAAUGUAUGAUAUAUAUAUAUUGACCAGCAUUAAUUGAGCUUGCACAUUCUAAGCAGAGUUGUCUGUUUGGUAACUAGGGAGGUAGCAUAGACAUGAGUGACUGAGAGAAGUCUUCUGGGACUCAGCAUGAAUAAAGAAUUCUCAGAGCAAAACCUCACUGACUCUUGGCUCCAAUGGCAGCAGCAAGCACCACCUAUGGAAGGGCUCAGACUGAGUACGCAGGGCCAAGGUGCAGUGGGUGUCUGCCCUCAUUGGCUCAUGCACAGUUCCAUAGUCUCUUCCCCUCUUAGCUAUACUCACUGAUACCUUACUCUGUGUCAGGAACCAUGCUCAUUACUUUCGUUAUAUUCUCUCAUGUGAGGUGAGGUAUGGUAUUUUUACCUCCAGUUUACAAAUGAGAAAAAUAGAGGUUUAGAGUUGGUAAAUGUUUUGCCCCAAGUCACAUUGCUUAGGGUAGUCUUAAGACUCAUUAUCAGCUCUCAUGUCCAUGAUCUUUAUCACAAUUUUACAUUUUUUCCUGGGCAAAUGUAUUGGUUUUCUUUAAGAUGAGAGAUUGUAGGGUCUAAGAAAAUAUCUGUAGCUAUAAAGCCCCUAAAUUCACAAAAGUAAUUGCAAAUAUGUCCCAAGCCAGAUAGGUCUCACCAACAUGGCUUAAACAAAAUCAAAAUCAAUGUAGUCAGAAAUUGAACGUUUGCAAUAAAGUUACCUGGGGCCGAGUGUCUACAGAGACUUACUAACACAGCCUCAGAUAAUCAUAAAGAUGAGCUUUCACUCCUGAGAUGAUACAUUCUUAACCACUGCCUACGCUGAAGGUUCCUAAUACCAUUCCUUGUAUGCAUGUGGAUGAAAGGAGUUAGGUUUCUUUCACCUGUGAUUAAAACUAUAAUAAUAAUCUGCUCACUUAUGUCUGCUCCUACUUCAGGCUUCUUAGGAAACAUGGAUCUGAUAAAUGGGCUUCAUUUAUAAACUCUUGAAAACUAGUAGUGUAACUCCAAAGCAAUGCAUAAGUUAGGUUCCAGUCCAUUAUGAACCACCAUCAAAUAUCAAUGACAUGCAACAAUAAAUAUGACUGUGGACUAAAACUGAUCUAGGCUGGAAUGAUCCUGUAUGGGCUCACACAUCUGUAGCUGUCUAGACAUUUAGGCUGGACUUGGUUGGGGAAUUGGUUGAGGAGAUUCUGUCUGAUUACAUCUCUUCUCUUAUCCUUCUCCUGGAUUCAGUGGGCUAGCUGGGGCAUGUUCUUUUCUUCAUGGUGAAAGAGGCUUCAGAACACAAGUAUAAAGAAGACCUAAGCCCUGGUUGAGGGCAGAAUCAUAACUGACAUACCCUCACUUCCACUGAGUUCUAUUGGCCAUGCAGAGAUCUAUAGUAGAAUCCAAAAAAGGUAUGCCCUGAUCUCCAUGUUGGGAGACCUCUGCCAUGCUCAAUUGCAAAAGAUAUGGGUACAGAGAGGAUAAAGAGUUGAGGCUGAACAUGUAAUCUACCAGAGACAAUGGGCCACAUUUUAAAUUCUACAUCUGACACUAAAUGUGAAAUCAGGUGAUUAUUUAUAAUCCAAGUAUUCAUUUCUUUUUUGGUUAAACUACAUUACUCCUAGCCCAUGGAUUCCUUUUGAGAAUUGAAUGAGGAAAAGUCUAUGAAAUUCCUCAGCAGGAAAAUGUAAAAGUAGCUGGCCUAGAACUCUGAAAAGCUCCAUCUUCCUUCCUACUCUGAACAACCCACUUACUCAUCUCCUUUCAGUGUUCCCAUUUCAGUAAGUUCCCUCAUGAUGUUCAAGGAGACUUCCUCCUGAGGUUGAGAGACUGAAUUCUAAGAUUAUAUAUUCUUUGUUUGCCUUAUUUUAGGCCUUUGUAUGCUACCAUAGGACAAUUAAGACUAUACAAGCAAUUAUUUUCCAGGAGGCACAGAUGUUGUUUGUUUCACUUGAGAAUUCAAGUCCUUAUUGGUCCUACUUUUAAGGUCCAUUUCUCAAGAAACAUUUCAUCCACUGAACAAUAAAGAGCAGCAAAUGACAUUAUUAAUAUAUAAAGACUCAUUAAAUUAUACUCAGUACUAAAAUGUCCCAAACCCUCUAGAGGGAUCUGAAAAUAAAUGUUCAUUUAACCUUCCUUUAAACUGCACUAUUUGAAGGAGAGAAGGGAUCAGGUUUUGGUUAGCAAAUGUUACAUAACAGCUGUUUUCAGAGGGCUCUCAUUUGUUCCCAUUUAUUUUGGAUGUUUGAAUUUCAACUGUAAGUCUUUUCUUGGGUCUAAGAUUGCCUUUACCUUCAGGCUCAGAAUAGCUUCUCUCAUUGCUUUUGGGGGACAGUCAUUGGAUAUAUUUUUGCAUCUUCAAUUCCAGUAAAAAUUACCACAAACAUUUCUGGAAUCCAUCAAUGACACCUUCUGUCAUGGGAGAUAUAAAAAAGAUCAAGUCAGAAAGAAGCUUCGUGACUCAAUUGGGAGGCUAGCUAGGACAUCUUGCGACCUGGUUAAAUCUGAAGGAGUUGUUUUUUUCUAAAGUUUAGGUGUGUGAGUAGGCUCAGAUACACUCUCCGGGGUGAGGAUGACUCUGGAUGGGAUGGAGAAAGUCCAGUAGGAGACAGCAAAGCCACUGAGGCAACCAGCCAGGACUUACCCUAGUGGAGUAGUAGGUAUCCAUGGCUUCAAUUAUUGGGUGGAUAGAACACUGUAAUGGGAACUGGGAGCAGGAUAUCUGUGGGUUCCCAGAGAUAGACAGAAAAACUGUGGGACAUACUGUGGAGCAAUAUUGGGACAAGGAUCUAAAGCCAGCCCAAAAUACAUUUAUUAGACCUGGAUACUAGGUUAAAACUAGAUUCACCACAUCAUAACCUUGAUACUUGAUGGUUUGAUGCUGAAUUGAACCACUCUAACCCCCAACCUCAUUACACACUGAGUGGAUAGAAACAGUUCUACAUCUGUGGGACUUCUCUUCCAUCCAUCUCUGCAUCUGAUAGAGGAGAUUUGGCACCAUUCAAUCCUGGUACAGAGAGCAAAGAGAAGUGAGCUGUGGACCUAUUUCCAAUCUGAGCACUUCAAAAAACCAAUAGGGCCUCAGAAUAAAGCAGAAAGUUAAAAUUUCAAAGAGAAUAUAAUUAAAUGACUACAGAGAUGAGGUUGGAGAGGACAAGUGAUGCUGAAGGAAUUAGUAAAAGUGGAAAACCAUUUAUCACUCUGAAUUCUGAAGGGGCAAGGAGAGGAAAAUGAAGCUGAUGAGAGUAGAAGCUGAGAACUUGAGGCCCUGACAUAAUGUCCUUCUAGAGGUGCAGCUUUCCUAUGACAACUGAGACACUGAGACAAGAAGAAAGCAAGGGGAUAAGUGCCUUGACCUCUCUCUGUCCCAGACUCCUGCUGUGCCUGCCCACUGAGGAACCUCAGAACCCAGAGAAUAAGGGAACAUCAGUGAUGGAAGGGAUCAAACUUCAGGGCACCAGGGCAGGGCCUGGACAUGAGGGAGAACACAUGGAGAAUGAUGUAAAUAUCUACAACAUGGUCAAGGCCACCGAAAACCAUUUAGUCUGUCAGGGUUUUUGUUUGUUUGUUUUGUCUUUUUUAGGGCCGCACCAGCAGCAUAUGGAGGUUCCCAUGCUGGGGGUCUAAUUGGAGCUGUAGCUGCCGGCCUACGCCACAGCAACAGCAACUGGGGAUCCAAGCCACGUCUUUGACCUACACCUCAGCUCAGGGCAACGCCGGUUCCUUAACCCACUGAGUGAGGCCAGGGAUCGAACCCGCAACCUCAUGGUUCUUAGUCGGAUUCGUUAACCACUGAGCCAUGAUGAGAACUCCUAGUCUGUCAGUUUUGACUUAUCUUUUUCAAAUAAAUUACCCUCAUGGCCUUUAACCAUCUUCUACUUAUCAAAGCAAAGGCCUUAGAGAUGAAAUAUUUCAUAAACACAUAUCAUUUAAAUAAUUUUUUAGUGUAGGAUCUUAGAAAUUUGUUUGCAUUGCUUAAAAAUAUCCCAAAAUCCAAAAAACAAAUCUGUGUGUGCUGACAUGUAAGAUGAUCUCCCUUUCACUGAGAAGGAUGCUCAAAGAGCCUGCAGGAGCUGAGACUUGUCCAUAUACCUAAAGUGACACAGUGAGGUCUCACAUUAAGGUUAUAGAAAUCCCCGAUUGCCAGCAUGCUUCCACACUGCCAUGAAACUCUGUGAGUGACUUGGGACCAGUGCAAUGGGACCAAUCCCAUUCCAUAUUUACUGACCACCUAAUAUGUCUCAGACACUGCACUAGAGGCAUAGGAGAGCUAGAGUGGCAGUAAGACAUCAUGGAAUCAGAUUUGUAGUCCUUUUAGAGACUCACCUAAAAGUACCUGCAAUCUGCAUACUGCUGGCAUGCCAGUGAUAUUUUUGCCUAUUUUUAUAAUAGUGGAAAAGCUAUCGUCUACUCAUUUGGUCCAAUAAUCUUCCUUCCAUAUUUUAGAUCCUUCUAUGAUACCAUUUUAACUUCUUCUCUUUCUCCAUCUUUUCCUUCCUACCCACAUUCACCAAUUCUGUCUGCCUUACCAUGUACAGAGAGCCAGUAGUUCCAGGGAAAGUACUGUGCAAGGAUGAGGUUGCCUCUUGACCCAAGGGAUAGGGGAUCCUUUGGGCUCUGAGGGGUAUUGGUCCUCUGGUUAUAACACCAUGGAGUUAAUUAUCAAGCAUCUCCAGGUACUUGGUAUGGAAACAGGUAAAUUACACAUAUAAUCUCCUUUAAUUUGCUCCUAUGCAUGCAAUUUAUUUGUGCACAUCAGUUCUUUGCUUAUAGUGCUGCUGCUACCAAAAUGAUGUGUCAUGAAACUAAUGAAAAGCAAAUCAUCCUGAUGUCUAACUUUGAAGGCACUUUCUCAGUCUUCUCGGUUUUAUGUAGAUCUCACUUAUUUUAAUGCAAACAAGUCUAAAUGUAAGAUAAAGUCAAAAUGGCUAAGUGGGGGAAAAGCCUUGAAAAGAGAAAAUGGACAUCAUGAGGCUUGUGCUAGACUAACACUGGGCGAAUUUCACCAACACAUGUUAUAGUAUAGUAGAUAAAGAGGCAGCAUGAACACUAAGCCCAAAUACUUGGUAACUCAGCCCACUCUGUUGUUCUGAGGCUGAUCUCUCAUGGGAUUGUAUUCCUUUCCUUCUGUCUUGAGCCCUCUUUCCCUGAAAACAUCUCUUUUUUUUUUCUGUCACUUUUUUCUUCAUUUUUUAAAAACCAGCAUGGGCUUUGGGGAAGGUUUCCUCAGCAACUCUGGGAAAAGUUGCGUUCAAUUACAGAACCAUAGACAUUUAGAGUCAGGAGGCCAUUUGGAAAUCAUCUAAUUCAUCUUCUUCACCUCAACUGCUAAGGACCCACAGUCUAGCAAUGUAGGAAUAGAAAUGUCUGGAGUGAUGGAAAUUUUCCAACUCUGUAUUGUCUGCUGCAGUAGCCACUAGCCACAUGUAGCUAUUGUACACUUGAAAUGUGAUUACCAUGACUGAAUUCUAAAUUUUAUUUACCUGUAAUUUAAUUUAAAUUCAGAUAGUCCCAUAGGGAUAGAGGCUACCAUAUUGAAUAGCGGAGGUCUAGAAAGUUCUUGGAUUGUACCCAGUGUCACACUGUAAAGUGGAAGAACUCACCUGAUUAUAUAGGCCUUUGAAUCAGCUCAGGGGUCUUUAAUGGUUUCAAAUACUUCAGUAAAUCAACCAACUUAGCCCAGAAUGCAUAAUUAAGGUGCAGGGGAGAAGUAUUGGCUGCCUUGGCAUUGACAAACCAAAAAAAAAAAAAAAAAAAAAAAAAAAAA